AUGAACGCUGGCGGCGUGCUUAACACCUGCAAGUCGAACGAAGCACUUUAUUUGAUUUCCUUCGGGACUGAUUAUUUUGUGACUGAGUGGCGGACGGGUGAGUAACUCGUGGGUAACCUGCCUUGUACAGGGGGAUAACAGUUGGAAACGGCUGCUAAUACCGCAUAAGCGCACAGCAUCGCAUGAUGCAGUGUGAAAAACUCCGGUGGUAUAAGAGGGACCCGCGUUGGAUUAGCUAGUUGGUGAGGUAACGGCCCACCAAGGCGACGAUCCAUAGCCGAGCAGUGAGGGAGACCGGAGACACUGGGAGUGAGCCACGGUCCAGAAUCCUACGGGAGGCAGGAGUGGGGAAUACAGCACAACGGGCGAAAGCAUGAUGCAGCGAGGCUGGGUGAGCGAAGAAGUAUUGAGGUAAGUAAAGCGCUAUCAGCAGGGAAGAUAAUGACGGUACCUGAGUAAGAAGCACCGGCUAAAUACGUG
This 480-nucleotide ribosomal RNA is filed under the name uncultured bacterium. RNAcentral describes it as "partial 16S ribosomal RNA". It matches the Rfam family "Bacterial small subunit ribosomal RNA", at positions 29 to 507 of the family's 1533-position model. The record is from RNAcentral.